This 2220-nucleotide ribosomal RNA is filed under the name Triticum aestivum (bread wheat). RNAcentral's name for it is "partial small subunit ribosomal RNA". The record is from RNAcentral. Lineage: Eukaryota; Viridiplantae; Streptophyta; Magnoliopsida; Poales; Poaceae.
AUGCUGCAGGAGUUCGUCGACAACGUCNNNNNNNNNNNNNNNNNGUCUGUGAAGACAUUCACAUAUGAGACAUUGAACAACAUUGCGAGAUUGAUAAAUGGAAUAUCAGCACUCUUGUUGACACUGUUACCUGGAAAAGCCAACAUUUUGGAAGGGGUCAGUGGCUGGGAACUUAGGCCAGCAUUUCGCGGGCCACGUCUUCCUCGUUGGAUGGAAAGUGGGGUCUCUUCAUUUAACGAGUUCAUUCACGAACUUUCUGCCGAUUCGGAGUCUGAAUCAAUUGCUGGCUCUGUCCCUGGGGAUGAUGACAAUGAAGAGUUUGUCUGCCCUCCUUCUCCGUUGUCCCAAAGUUCACGAUUGUCACACACAAGCAGCUUUGGUAGACAUGACCGUCGAUUGAGAAGGCCUAUCAAAUAUGCAGUUUCCUGGAUUAUUUGGCCUGUGAAAAUUUUCCUUUCUUUGCUGCUCGUCUUGUUCAAUGCUGUCAAAUAUCGGAUAUCAAGGGCAUCUGCUAAAACCCCAGAAAGUCCUUAUUUAUCGAGGAGCAUAUCUGUGAAAAACCCAAUUCACAUGAAGGAUCAAGUCCUACAACGAACGACUGAUAGAAGGCGCGGAGUUGUCGAGGAUAUUCAUUUGGCAGUUGAGAUAUUCAUUGAAUCAGUUUUUGACGUUGUUCAUAAAGGAGCACAUUAUGUUCUUUCUCCUUUUGAGGUGUGGCAGAAGUUAUUUUGGUGGAUUCAUGGAAACAGGGUUGGUAACAGUAGUCCUGCUGUUGAUGUGCCAACAGCUAACAUUGGCAGUGAUAAUCCAGUUCCAACUGAAAGGAAGACCGUAUAUCGUCAUGCAUUGAACACAGAUUCCCGGACAUGUGAAGAUGUUAUAACUGAACUUGGGUAUCCUUUUGAGGCUAUAAAGGUGGUUACUUCAGAUGGAUAUGUUCUGCUGCUGGAGAGAAUCCCCAGGCGUGAUUCACGGAAGGUUGUGUUGUUGCAACAUGGAGUACUGGACUCAUCUAUGGGUUGGGUAUCGAAUGGUGUUGUUGGCUCACCUGCAUUUGCAGCUUAUGAUCAAGGUUAUGAUGUUUUUCUUGGAAAUCUCCGUGGUUUGGUUUCAAGAGAGCAUAUGGAUAAAAAUCUUUCUUCCUCCAAGUACUGGAAAUAUUCUGUCAAUGAGCAUGGAACCAAAGAUAUGCCAGCAAUAAUCGAGGAAAUUCACAAGAUUAAAACUUCAGAACUUGGCAGCAGUCAGAAUCUUAUUGGGGAGGAAAUGGAAGAUCAAAAUGAUGACAUAAAGAAUUCGGAAAUACAGACUUCAGAGGAAGACGUGACAAAAAAUCAGCCUUAUAAGCUCUGUGCUGUCUGCCACAGCCUGGGUGGUGCAGUUAUGUUGAUGUAUGUGGUGAUAUCAAGGAUUGCGCAGAAGCCCCACAGGUUGUCAAGAUUGGUCUUGCUAUCUCCUGCUGGUUUUCACGAGGAUUCAAAUGUGGUGUUCAGCUUGGUGGAGAAGAUCAUCCUGUUUGUUGGUCCAGUACUUGCUCCACUUGUGCCUGGGCUGUACAUACCAACUCGAUUCUUCAGGAUGCUUCUGAACAAAUUAGCUAGGGAUUUCCACAACUAUCCAGCUUUGGGUGGUCUCGUCCAAACCCUUAUGGGGUAUGUUGUUGGUGGUGACAGUUCAAAUUGGGUGGGAGUACUUGGGUUGCCUCACUACAACAUGGAUGACAUGCCCGGUGUAUCGUUUCAUGUUGUACUCCAUCUUGCACAGAUAAAGAGGGCGAAGAGGUUCCAAAUGUAUGACUAUGGAAGUGCCGCGGCAAACAUGGAAGCGUAUGGAACACCAAAACCAUUGGACCUGGGAGCUCACUACAGUCUUAUUGACAUCCCCAUGGACCUGGUUGCUGGGCAAAGAGACAAAGUAAUCUCACCAACCAUGGUGAAGAAGCACUACAAGUUGAUGCGGAAGGCUGGUGUUGAAGUCUCCUAUAAUGAAUUCGAGUAUGCUCAUUUGGAUUUCACAUUUUCACACAGGGAAGAGCUUUUGUCCUAUGUUAUGUCCCGCCUGGCCUUAGCAGCUGACGCAGGUAAAGGCCGCAUCAAGCAGACCACUGUGCGACUAAGGAAGCCGAAGAGAGUUCAGUCAGAAAUCGAGAAGGAUCGUGCCAUGGAGUAUAGAGGCGCAGAUGAAGAGAUACCUGGUGAACCAAAUGGGCAUCGCAAGUGA